This is a non-coding RNA of Acanthosepion pharaonis, 105 nucleotides long. NCBI's taxonomy places the organism in Eukaryota, Metazoa, Mollusca, Cephalopoda, Sepiida, Sepiidae. The record is from the annotation of a GenBank genome assembly.
UUAUGACCAUAUCACGUUGGAAUACCACUUCUCAUACGAUCACCGAAGUUAAACAACGUCGAGCCAACUCAGUACCUUGAUCGGUGACCGCUUAGGAAUACUUAG